This 1501-nucleotide ribosomal RNA is filed under the name Candidatus Beckwithbacteria bacterium CG10_big_fil_rev_8_21_14_0_10_34_10. RNAcentral describes it as "bacterial SSU rRNA". It matches the Rfam family "Bacterial small subunit ribosomal RNA". The record is from RNAcentral. Lineage: Bacteria; Candidatus Beckwithiibacteriota.
UUGAGAGUUUGAUCCUGGCUCAGGAUGAACGCUGGCGGUGUGCCUUAGGCAUGCAAGUCGAACGUUAGUCCUUCGGGACGAAAGUGGCAGACGGGUGAGUAACGCGUAGGAAUCUACCCUCUGGUGGGGAAUAGCUCGCCGAAAGGCGAGGUAAUACCGCAUAAGAACCUUAACUUAGGUUAAGGUUGAAAGGGCGUAACUGCCCGCCGAUGGAGGAGCCUGCGUUCUAUCAGCUUGUUGGUAGGGUAAUGGCCUACCAAGGCAAUGACGGAUAGCCGGUGUGAGAGCACGACCGGCCACAAUGUUACUGAAAUACGGAGCAUACGUCUACGGACGGCAGCAACCGGGAAUCUUGCGCAAUGGGCGAAAGCCUGACGCAGCGACACCGCGUGGGGGAUGAAGGCCUUCGGGUUGUAAACCCCUUUUAUUUAGAAACAUAAUGAGGGUACUGAAUGAAUAAGCACCUGCAAACUACGUGCCAGCAGCCGCGGUAAUACGUAGGGUGCAAGCGUUAUCCGGAUUUAUUGGGCGUAAAGAGUAUCGUAGGCGGUUUAGUAAGUUAUUCGUUAAAGACCGAGGCUUAACUUCGGAAGGGCGGGUAAUACUACUAGACUAGAGCGCAGUUGGGGAUAUCGGAAUGUCUGGUGGAGGGGUGAAAUCCGUUGAGAUCAGAUAGAACACCAAGGGCGAAGGCAGAUAUCUAAACUGUUGCAGACGCUGAUGAACGAAAGCUAGGGUAGCAAAAGGGAUUAGAGACCCCUGUAGUCCUAUGCUGUAAACGAUCCCUACUAGCUGGUCGGGUUUUUAACUUGACUGGCGUAAGCUAACGCGUUAAGUAGGGCGCCUGGGAAGUACGGCCGCAAGGCUAAAACUCAAAGGAAUUGACGGGGAGGCGCACAACCAGUGGAGCAUGUGGUUCAAUUCGAUACGAAGCGUAGGACCUUACCUGGGCUUGACAUUUUGCUGCAAGCCUGAAGAAAUUCAGGCCGCCUUCGAGGGAGCAAGACAGCUGUUGCAUGGUUGUCGUCAGCUCGUGUCGUGAGAUCUCCGCUUAAGUGCGGUAACGAGCGCAACCCUUGUCCUGUGUUGAAUAUCACAGGAGACUGCCUUAGUUAAACUAAGGAGGAAGGAAAGGAUGACGUCAAAUCAGCACGACGCUUACGUCCAGGGCAACACACAUCCUACAAUGGCUAGUACAAUAGGUUGCGAAGCAGCAAUGCGGAGCUAAUCCCUAAAACUAGCCUCAGUUCAGAUUGUGGGCUGCAACUCGCCCACAUGAAGUUGGAAUUGGUAGUAAUCGUGGGUCAGCAGACCGCGGUGAAUACGUUCUCGCCUCUUGUACACACUGCCCGUCAAGCGAGGAGAGUUGGGGGUACCCGAAGUUGUUCUCUUAACCUUAAUUUAUUAAGGAAAAGGAAUACCUAAGGUAAACUCAGCAAUCAGCACUAAGUCGUAACAAGGUAGCCGUUCUGGAAGGAGCGGCUGGAUCACCUCCUUUCUA